Pelobates cultripes (western spadefoot toad) is the source of this 606-nucleotide non-coding RNA. Lineage: Eukaryota; Metazoa; Chordata; Amphibia; Anura; Pelobatidae. The record is from the annotation of a GenBank genome assembly.
GUUCAUAUUAUAAACUGAAGUUUACCAAAACCCAAGCUAUGGCACUAGAAGUACCAUAACAGAUGGAGCUCUUAACCCCUUAAGAACUCGUUUUCCUGGCACUAUAGUGUUAAUAGGUCCCCCCCCUCCCGCCAGACUCGAGAGGUUAAGUGGUUAAACACUUGCCUUUCUCCAGCGCCGGGCUCCCUCGGCGCUGGGGACUCUCCUCCCUCUUCCGACGUCAUCCGCCGAAUGUGCAUGCGCGGCAAGAGCCUUUCUCAAUGCUUUCCUAUGGACGUCUGCGUCUUCUCACUGUGAUUUUCACAGUGAGAGGCGCGGAAGCGUAUUUUGCGGCUGUCAAUGAGACAGCAACUAGAGGCUGGAUUAACCCUAAUGUAAACAUAGCAGUUUCUCUGAAACUGCUAUGUUUACAGCUGCAGGGUUAAAGGACCACUAUAGGCACCCAGACCACUUCAGCUUAAUGAAGUGGUCUGGGUGCCAGGUCCAGGUAGGUUUAACCCUUUUUUCUAUAAACAUAGCAGUUUCAGAGAAAUCAUUUUCAGAGAUUGACAGCCGCUAGAGGCGCUUUUCACUGUGAUUUUUCACAGUGAGAAGACGCCAGCGUCC